GGCGUUGGCAGCGGUCCAAGUUCUUUGGAACAGGACGUCACAGAGGGUGAGAAUCCCGUACGUGGUCGCUAGCCUUCGCCGUGUAAAGCCCCUUCGACGAGUCGAGUUGUUUGGGAAUGCAGCUCUAAAUGGGAGGUAAAUUUCUUCUAAAGCUAAAUACUGGCCAGAGACCGAUAGCGCACAAGUAGAGUGAUCGAAAGAUGAAAAGCACUUUGGAAAGAGAGUCAAAUAGCACGUGAAAUUGUUGAAAGGGAAGCGCUUGCAGCCAGACUUGCCUGUAGUUGCUUAUCCGGACUUUUGUCCGGUGCACUCUUCUGCGGGCAGGCCAGCAUCAGUUUAGGCGGUUGGAUAAAGGUCUCUGUCAUGUACCUCUCUUCGGGGAGGCCUUAUAGGGGAGACGACAUGCAACCAGCCUGGACUGAGGUCCGCGCAUCUGCUAGGAUGCUGGCGUAAUGGCUGUAAGCGGCCCGUCUUGAAACACGGACCAAGGAGUCUAACAUCUAUGCGAGUGUUUGGGUGUCAAGCCCAGACGCGUAAUGAAAGUGAACGGAGGUGGGAACCCUUUGGGUGCACCAUCGACCGAUCCUGAUGUCUUCGGAUGGAUUUGAGUAAGAGCAUGGCUGUUGGGACCCGAAAGAUGGUGAACUAUGCUUGAAUAGGGUGAAGCCAGAGGAAACUCUGGUGGAGGCUCGCAGCGGUUCUGACGUGCAAAUCGAUCGUCAAAUUUGGGCAUAGGGGCGAAAGACUAAUCGAACUAUCUAGUAGCUGGUUCCUGCCGAAGUUUCCCUCAGGAUAGCAGUAACGUAUUCAGUUUUAUGAGGUAAAGCGAAUGAUUAGAGGCCUGGGGGUUGAAACAACCUUCACCUAUUCUCAAACUUUAAAUAUGUAAGAAGUCCUUGUUACUUGAUUGAACGUGGACACUUGAAUGUACCGUUACUAGUGGGCCAUUUUUGGUAAGCAGAACGGCGAUGCGGGAUGAACCGAACGCGGGGUU
Molecule: ribosomal RNA, 994 nt
Filed under: Neosetophoma italica
Lineage: Eukaryota; Fungi; Ascomycota; Dothideomycetes; Pleosporales; Phaeosphaeriaceae
Description: partial large subunit ribosomal RNA
Rfam family: Eukaryotic large subunit ribosomal RNA
Source: RNAcentral